RNAcentral lists this unclassified non-coding RNA (355 nucleotides) under soil metagenome. RNAcentral describes it as "partial contains 5.8S ribosomal RNA, internal transcribed spacer 2, and large subunit ribosomal RNA". The stretch from base 1 to 120 matches the Rfam family "5.8S ribosomal RNA", at positions 35 to 154 of the family's 154-position model. The record is from RNAcentral.
GAUGAAGAACGUAGCGAAAUGCGAUAAGUAAUGUGAAUUGCAGAAUUCAGUGAAUCAUCGAAUCCUUGAACGCACAUUGCGCCCAUUAGUAUUCUAGUGGGCAUGCCUGUUCGAGCGUCAUUAAGUCCACUUAAGCCCUGCUUAGUGUUGGGAGACUGCUCCAGCGGUGCUACCCUGUAGCUACCCUGCAGCUCCUCAAAGACAGCGGCGGAGUUGUGGUAUCCUCUGAGCUUAGUAACUUGUUCUAGCUUUCGAGUACACCACUUCCCCUGCCGUAAAACCCUUAAUUUUUAAUGGUUGACCUCGGAUCAGGUAGGAAUACCCGCUGAACUUAAGCAUAUCAAUAAGCGGAGGA